RNAcentral lists this ribosomal RNA (621 nucleotides) under Bodedia sp. NL628. Its description in RNAcentral is "eukaryotic LSU rRNA". It matches the Rfam family "Eukaryotic large subunit ribosomal RNA", at positions 420 to 784 of the family's 3401-position model. The record is from RNAcentral. Lineage: Eukaryota; Metazoa; Arthropoda; Insecta; Hymenoptera; Ichneumonidae.
CCUGAGAAACCCGAAAGAUCGAAUGGGGAGAUUCAUCGUCAGCGAAUUUUGGUACGUGUGCGGUUCGCGAUGUCGGGGACUUCGGUCUCACGGCACGCGUCCGCAUGUUUUUUAUUGCCUUAAUCGUCGGCGUGCACUUCUCCCCUAGUAGGACGUCGCGACCCGUUGGGUGUCGGUCUACGGCCCGGGUGGUAGCCUGUCUCGUGUGCGCUUCACGGCGUUACGCGGGGCAGACCCCUGUGUGUCUGGCCGACUGCUCGGCGGUACUCGCACGGUAUCUGGCCGCAAAUAUUCGAACUGCGUCCGGCCCGUCGCAAGCGAGGCAGGUGUAUCCCGGAUGUACGGAUCUAAUGCCGUCACCGGGCCCCGCCAGCUGUUGGUUGACGGUGUCCUAGGACCGGCCAAUAAAAUUAUGAUACCGGUCGGCGACGCUACUGCUUUGGGUACUUUCAGGACCCGUCUUGAAACACGGACCAAGGAGUCUAACAUGUGCGCGAGUCAUUGGGAUCUAUUAAGCCUAAAGGCGCAAUGAAAGUGAAGAUCGGCCUUGCGCCGAUCGAGGGAGGAUGGGCCGCGUCACGAUGCGGUCCCGCACUCCCGGGGCGUACUCGUUCUCAUUGC